CCUACGGGGGGCAGCAGUGGGGAAUUGUUCGCAAUGGGCGCAAGCCUGACGACGCAACGCCGCGUGGAGGAUGAAGGUCUUCGGAUUGUAAACUCCUGUUGAUUGGGACGAAUUCCUGCGGGGCUAACAUUCCCGCGGGGUGACGGUACCGAUUGAGGAAGCCCCGGCUAACUCUGUGCCAGCAGCCGCGGUAAUACAGAGGGGGCAAGCGUUGUUCGGAAUUACUGGGCGUAAAGGGCGCGUAGGCGGCCGCCUAAGUCGGACGUGAAAUCCCUCGGCU
Molecule: ribosomal RNA, 280 nt
Filed under: uncultured bacterium
Lineage: Bacteria
Description: partial 16S ribosomal RNA
Rfam family: Bacterial small subunit ribosomal RNA
Source: RNAcentral